RNAcentral lists this ribosomal RNA (255 nucleotides) under uncultured bacterium. Its description in RNAcentral is "partial 16S ribosomal RNA". It matches the Rfam family "Archaeal small subunit ribosomal RNA", at positions 474 to 728 of the family's 1478-position model. The record is from RNAcentral.
UACCAGCACCCCGAGUGGUCGGGACGUUUAUUGGGCCUAAAGCAUCCGUAGCCGGUUCUACAAGUCUUCCGUUAAAUCCACCUGCUCAACAGAUGGGCUGCGGAAGAUACUAUGGAGCUAGGAGGCGGGAGAGGCAAGCGGUACUCGAUGGGUAGGGGUAAAAUCCGUUGAUCCAUUGAAGACCACCAGUGGCGAAGGCGGCUUGCCAGAACGCGCUCGACGGUGAGGGAUGAAAGCUGGGGGGAGCAAACGGGG